This 2560-nucleotide long non-coding RNA is filed under the name Diabrotica virgifera virgifera (western corn rootworm). RNAcentral describes it as "uncharacterized LOC126887371". The record is from RNAcentral. Lineage: Eukaryota; Metazoa; Arthropoda; Insecta; Coleoptera; Chrysomelidae.
UGCCAGAUGAAAUUUCAGAAUAUCCCUAGACGGGAGCUUCAAUUUCCCCUAGAAAUCCCUAAAUCGUAUUAAUUUGACCUAAAAAAGAAGAAAUUGACAGAUGACAGCUGUCAAUUUAAUUUAUAACCUAUUAAACACUAUGUUUAAUCCACUUUAAUCAUUGAUUAGGUAAUGUUUUAAUGUUUACUUAGGAAUAUUUAUGUCAGGGAACAAUAAAUAAUGACAAUAUUAAUAAUAUUUUAACAAAAAGAUAUUUAAUAACAACAAAAAAUGGCGCCAGCACAGUUUAAUAAAUCCCUAGAUUUCAAAAAAAAUCCCUCCAGAGCUCCAAAAGCUUCAAAAAAUCCCUAGAUUCGGGGAAAAUCCCUAGACAUGGUAACCCUGUACUAGAGUCUGUAGCACCCAACAAAAAGAAUUUCGCAAGGCUAUGAUUGGCUACAAAAUCCCGGCUUGCGAUUGGUUAGAAAGCUGAGUGUGAUCAUAACAUAAUAAAACCUAAAAUUUAAAUUUUAGUUGACAGUUGUUUGUUGUUUUAAUGUCUGUGCAAUAUCCAAUAAAAAUAAACAAAAUAUAGAACAAUAGUAAUAAUAAUUAUAUAAUGAUUUCCUAAAGAAAUAUAUGCUUUAGAAAGAUGUAUUAUAACAUUAUAACCACAGCACACAAACAGUAAUUACUAACACAGAAUGAAAUGAUGUCUGAACCUAGCAUGGAUAAUUGAAAAGCACAAAUAAUCCCAACAUAGAUUAUUAAGGAAGCCGACCCGCAUAGGGAUAAGGCAAAGAGAAUGAUGAAUGAUGAAUUUGAUAAAUUUUUUAACUGCAGAUCAUACAGUUCUCUAUGCAGAUGAUUCAACAAUUAUUGUAGUUGACUCGUCAACUGAAGUCGGAACUCAUAUCCAAAAUGAACUUGGUAGCACAGGAAUUUACAACCUGGUGUAAAAUGAACUCUUUAAUGGUAUAUGCAAAGAAAACUAUUUGUAUGCAGUGCUACUCGUGCAGUUAGCCAUCCCAUGAUUAUAAGAUCACAGUUAGUUCUGAGGAAAUACCUUUUAGUGAUACAUUAUUUCUUGGUAGCAUUCUAGAAAGUAAUAUGACAAGGGAUGAAAACGUUACUAAAGUCUGCAAAAAAAUGAAUAAGGGUUAGUAUGCGAUCCUUCAGUUGAAAACUAUUUAAUACCAAUCAAUUGAUAAGUGUGUACUAUGCAUUGGUUUACUCAUAUAAUAUAUGAGUCAUAUAGCCUAUAAUGUUGUCUUGUAGGGAAACUCUUCUAGAGUUUUUGUAACUAAAAAGAGAAUUAUUAGAUUGAUAUUUAAUAUCUAUCGAUAAUAGACAAUCAUGUCAUAAAUAUUUUAUGGAUCACAGACUGACUUUCCAUGCUUUAUACAUUUAUAAGUGCAUUAUUCAUGUUAAAACUAUAUUUCAAAAUUUUACUCUCAACUCUGACUAUCAUGAUUACCCGACAAGGCACGGGAGGAUGAUAAGCGUAUGUAAACAUUCCACAACUCUUUUUGAAACUAGUCCUGAUUUUACAGGAUCUAAAUUUUACAAUUGUUUGCCACUUGAUAUGAGAAAUGAAAAUAAUAUUCAAAAAUAAAUUAAAAUCAUGCUUGAUAGAAUUAUGUGUUUACAACCUAAAUGAUUACUUUGACUUAAUAAAAGACUACAAGGAAUGAGGACCGACGGGUUCAGAGACACUCUAUAUUGCAUAUCUUUUUUUAUUAAUUUAUAGUUUGUUGAUUAUGUUUUAUAUAACUGUCCUGUAUGACUUGUUGAUUAUGUUCUAUGUAACUACAUAUAUGGCUUGUCCUAUACUGCUGUGCUUAGAGAAAACACUAUCUGCAAAAAUUAAAUUUUUACUUCUUUCUAACCCAAAUGUGCAUAUAUGUCUUAUUUGCUUACUAAAAAUGACGUAAGUUAAACCAAAACACAUUAAACACACCGCAUCUUAUGCCGUAUCUUGUGUAAAUGUAUACGAAUACUUUAACAAAAAUCGAUUUUACUCAUAUGUGAUGUCUCUGCAGAUACAGUGUUUUCGCUAAGCACGGCAGUAUAUCACACUAUCAUCUAAAUGAAUUAAUAAAGAUAUUCUAUUCUAUAAACAGUGUUACAUUUGCUUUUGUUCAUUGUAACACAAAUUAAUUAUGUGGGAACCAAUCUUUAGUUUUCGUAAACAAAUCUUUAAAAUUUUCUAUUGCUUUCUAGUUACGUUUCUUUAUGAGUGUUUCCAUGUUUUCUGUAGGUAUCUGGUCUUAUAGCAUCUUCAAAGUAUUUUAAUUGUUGGACCUGGUGGUUUGUUAAAUUUGAGUUUGAUCACCAGUCUGACUUAAUUUUCAAGUAUAUCAGGUUUUUUUUCUGUUUUGUUAGGGGUUUAGUGAACGAGUUCCUAGAGUUGAUCAUCUUUAUAUAGAUCCCUGCUUCUCUAUUUGUUCUCAGUAUUCCUGUGUAUUCUCCAAUAGAUAUGCUCUUUCAUUCUCUACUCAUUCUAUAUAAUAUUUCAAAAUAUACUUGAGAUGUACUUUUUGUAAAUUUUGUAAAAUAAAAUAAAUUUGUUUUUAGAUAA